UACGAAGGGGGCGAGCGUUGUUCGGAUUUACUGGGCGUAAAGGGCGCGCAGGCGGUUCUGUUUGUCGCGUGCGAAAGCCCCCGGCUCAACCGGGGAGAGUCGUCGGGGACCGCACCGCUUGAGGGCGGUAGGGGCUGGUGGAAUGCCUGGUGUAGUGGUGAAAUGCGUAGAGAUCAGGCAGAACACCUGGGGCGAAGGCGGCCAGCUGGGCCGUCCCUGACGCUGAGGCGCGAAGGCGUGGGGAGCGAACGGG
RNAcentral lists this ribosomal RNA (253 nucleotides) under uncultured bacterium. RNAcentral describes it as "partial 16S ribosomal RNA". It matches the Rfam family "Bacterial small subunit ribosomal RNA", at positions 524 to 776 of the family's 1533-position model. The record is from RNAcentral.